RNAcentral lists this long non-coding RNA (223 nucleotides) under Anser brachyrhynchus (Pink-footed goose). Its description in RNAcentral is "lncRNA (ENSABRG00000003530.1)". Lineage: Eukaryota; Metazoa; Chordata; Aves; Anseriformes; Anatidae. The record is from RNAcentral.
UGACGCCCGUCUCUCUUUUAGGGUUUCUACAAGGGAGGCAAAUUCGUCUUCAGCUUUAAGGUCGGCCAGGGCUACCCCCACGACCCCCCCAAGGUGAAGUGCGAGACGAUGGUCUACCACCCCAACAUCGACCUGGAGGGCAACGUCUGCCUCAACAUCCUCAGGUGGGCCACCAAACCCCCCGGGGUGGCCACCGACCCCUGAGGUAGCCACCGAUACCUGA